Molecule: ribosomal RNA, 919 nt
Filed under: uncultured Bacteroidota bacterium
Lineage: Bacteria; Pseudomonadati; Bacteroidota
Description: bacterial SSU rRNA
Rfam family: Bacterial small subunit ribosomal RNA
Source: RNAcentral
AGACUUUGAUCAUGGCUCAGGAUGAACGCUAGCUACAGGCUUAACACAUGCAAGUCGAGGGGAAACGACACCGAAAGCUUGCUUUUGAUGGGCGUCGACCGGCGCACGGGUGAGUAACGCGUAUCCAACCUGCCCACCACUUGGGGAUAACCUUGCGAAAGUAAGACUAAUACCCAAUGAUAUCUCUAGAAGACAUCUGAAAGAGAUUAAAGAUUUAUCGGUGAUGGAUGGGGAUGCGUCUGAUUAGCUUGUUGGCGGGGUAACGGCCCACCAAGGCAACGAUCAGUAGGGGUUCUGAGAGGAAGGUCCCCCACAUUGGAACUGAGACACGGUCCAAACUCCUACGGGAGGCAGCGGUGAGGAAUAUUGGUCAAUGGACGAGAGUCUGAACCAGCCAAGUAGCGUGCAGGAUGACGGCCCUAUGGGUUGUAAACUGCUUUUAUAAGGGAAUAAAGUGAGUCUCGUGAGACUUUUUGCAUGUACCUUAUGAAUAAGGACCGGCUAAUUCCGUGCCAGCAGCCGCGGUAAUACGGAAGGUCCGGGCGUUAUCCGGAUUUAUUGGGUUUAAAGGGAGCGUAGGCCGGAGAUUAAGCGUGUUGUGAAAUGUAGACGCUCAACGUCUGCACUGCAGCGCGAACUGGUUUCCUUGAGUACGCACAAAGUGGGCGGAAUUCGUGGUGUAGCGGUGAAAUGCUUAGAUAUCACGAAGAACUCCGAUUGCGAAGGCAGCUCACUGGAGCGCAACUGACGCUGAAGCUCGAAAGUGCGGGUAUCGAACAGGAUUAGAUACCCUGGUAGUCCGCACGGUAAACGAUGGAUGCCCGCUGUUGGUCUGAAUAGGUCAGCGGCCAAGCGAAAGCAUUAAGCAUCCCACCUGGGGAGUACGCCGGCAACGGUGCAACUCAAAGGAAUUGACGGA